AGAAAGACUGAAAGAGGGAGAAGAUAGAGAGAGAAAGAGGGGUUUGAAGGAGCUUUUGAAUUCUCUUAGGGUUGAUGUUAGGUUUGUAGAUUUUGAUUCACAUUUCUUUGUUUCAAGAUCUGAUUGAUUUUUUCAGGUUAUCUUCAAUUUGAUUAUAGUCAAAGUUGAUGAACCGUUUAGGGUUUAAGUCGGUGGUCUACCAUGGUGAUGUUCGUUUGGGUGAAUUGGAGGCAAUACAAGUCAAUGGACAAAGUUUUCAAUUUCCAAACAACGAGAUUCGGAUCCAUCAUAUAUCUCCACAGAGUGAGAGAUGUCCACCUAUUUCAAUUCUCCAAACAAUUUCUUCAUUUUCUGUACGAUGCAAGCUUGAAUCGUCUUCUCCAGUUGAACAACCUCACUUGAUCACUCUUCAUACUUCCUGCUUCUUUGAGCUCAAGACGGCUGUGGUUGUUCUUGGAGAGGAAGAGAUUCAUUUGGUGGCUAUGCCAAGUAAGCAAAAGAAGUUUCCUUGUUUUUGGUGCUUUGCGGUACCUUCUGGAUUGUACAAUUCCUGUGUGUGGAUGUUGAAUUUGAGGUGUUUGUCUAUUGUCUUUGAUCUCGAUGAGACUUUGAUUGUUGCCAAUACAAUGAAAUCUUUUGAGGAUAGAAUUGAAGCACUGCGCAAUUGGCUAUUGCGUGAAACUGAUCCGAUUAGAGUAUCGGGAAUGACAGCUGAACUAAAACGAUAUAUGGAUGAUAGAAUCCUGUUGAAACAGUAUGCUGAAAAAGACUGCGUUGAGGACAAUGGGAAAAUGUAUACGGCUCAAUUAGAGGAAGUCCCACCGGUGUCUAAUGGAAAUGAGAGGGUGGUGGUACGUCCUAUCAUAAGAAUACCAGAAAAGAACACGGUGCUUACCCGCAUUAACCCGGAGAACCGUGACACUAGUGUGCUGGUGAGACUUAGGCCUGCCUGGGAGGAUUUGAGGAGUUAUUUGACUGCUAAAGGGCGUAAAAGAUUUGAAGUUUAUGUUUGUACUAUGGCUGAAAGAGAUUACGCCUUAGAGAUGUGGAGAUUGCUUGACCCGGAGGCGCACUUGAUUCAUUCAAAGCAGUUAUUGAGGCGUGUUGUUUGUGUCAAAUCAGGCGCUAGAAAGUCGCUGCUUAAUGUCUUUCAGGAUGGCAAUUGUCAUCCAAAGAUGGCCAUGGUGAUCGAUGAUCGUUUAAAAGUCUGGGAAGAUAAAGAUCAGCCUCGGGUUCAUGUCGUCCCUCCCUACACUCCAUAUUAUGCUCCGCAGGCAGAGAUGGCAAAUGCUGUUUCCGUCCUAUGUGUGGCGAGAAAUGUAGCAUGCAAUGUGAGGGGCGGUUUCUUCAGGGAUUUUGAUGAAAUCCUGCUUCGUAGAAUCUCUGAUCUCUUUUACGAAGAUGAGGUCAUAAGUUUACCUUCUGCACCUGAUGUGAGCAAUUAUAUGAUGUCUGAGGAUGCUAGUUUUGUGCCGAAUGGAAACAUACAUGUCCCCAUUCCAGAGGGAAUGUAUGUUCCUGAAGUUGUUCAUCAGUCAAACGAGCUGGAUGAGAAGAGUACUGUACGCCUUGUACACCCCAUUGUAAAUGGUCCAGAGUCAAAACCUGAAGCCUCCUCACAUAUAUCGGCCACCACUGUUCCAGGUGUUCGUGUUCCAGGAUCUUUCAGAACAAUCAUACCGUCAGAUAAACCUAGUUUGCUUGGAGCUCCUUUUAGACGAGAUGUCGGUUUAUCUGAGUCUGAACCUGAAAUGAAGAAAAGACCAUUUAUUGUGAAUCCUUCUCAAGAAUUACGGUAUCAGGGCUUGAAUGAACCUCCUAUUUUGUCUAAAUUGCCUGGUCAUGGAGUUUUAAACAACAUACAACCCCAAGGUGGAUGGUUAGAAGAUGACAACCAUCGAGGAUAUUUAAAUGCCAGAACAUCAGGAGCUAUUCUGGAAAAUACAUUGAAUAUGGAGAAACAACAUCUCCCACAGAACCAUGGUGCAUCAAGUCACUUUUCUGCAGGAAUACUACAAAAUCUAUCUGAAGCAAAGCAUGAAGAGGCAUGUAUAGGACGGGGAGCGAGAAAACAUAAUCUUCCUUCACUGAACCAGCCAUCUGAAGUUGGUGUUAUUCAUAAUCUAUCCUCUUCAAAUGGUGGAGAGCUUACUGAGGGGGAAAAACCAAACAUGGUGCAAUCUUCUUUAUGCAUGGGAGUGCUACAAGAAAUUGGGAGACGAUGCAAUUCUAAGGUUGAAUUUGGGCCAACUACGAGCAACAAUAAAGAUAUGCAGUUCUGUGUUGAGGUAUUUUUUACUGGUGAAAAGAUUGGCGUUGGAAUGGGUAGAACAAGGAAGGAUGCUCAGCAACAAGCUGCUGAGAAUGCUCUCCGUAGCUUGGCUGAUAAAUAUCUAUCACAUGUUACACAACAAGGAUCUGUGGACAACAACUUUGAUAAGCUCUCCAUUUCAAGUGAAAAUGGGUUUAUAUGGGAUACUACUAGUUCUGGAUCUGGACAGACAAUUGAUGAUGCACUAGCCAAAGAAGAGGUGGGGAUUCCUGAUGCUUCUAUGCAUGAUUGAUUUGGUUACUUUCUUUGGAAACAUAGGUAUUGCUUGGAUAAUGGGUACGAGGGCAAGACAUUUCCCAGAUAAGAGAGAUACGGUUUAUCUGGAGAGGUGCCACUUUUUUUAUUGGAUUUUUGCAUUGCACCCAAGAUGUUUCCAAAGGAUUAACAUGAAAAAAGGUGGGGGUGUAGUGUGUUCAACUGCCGCCUUGGCAUACUUGCUGUUUUUUUAGAGUGUGCUGAAGGGAGGACGGUUGAGAGUAGUAUGUCCAUUGAAGUAAGCCAAGUAGCAGCUGGUAAACGUGCUAGAACCUCAGGAUACCUAGUUCCACCAACUCAAGGAGGAAACAAUCAAAAGAAGAGAUAACAACAGGAUUCAUUAGUUUUGUGUUAUCAU
Impatiens glandulifera is the source of this 2945-nucleotide RNA transcript. It is a transcript of the gene named RNA polymerase II C-terminal domain phosphatase-like 2, with no coding region annotated. The transcript has 16 exons. The record is from RefSeq and is a predicted model, not a curated record. NCBI's taxonomy places the organism in Eukaryota, Viridiplantae, Streptophyta, Magnoliopsida, Ericales, Balsaminaceae.